This 637-nucleotide ribosomal RNA is filed under the name Filenchus cylindricaudus. RNAcentral describes it as "SSU rRNA". It matches the Rfam family "Eukaryotic small subunit ribosomal RNA", at positions 1003 to 1664 of the family's 1831-position model. Lineage: Eukaryota; Metazoa; Nematoda; Chromadorea; Rhabditida; Tylenchidae. The record is from RNAcentral.
GGCGAUCAGAUACCGCCCUAGUUCUGACCGUAAACGAUGCCAACUAGCGAUCCGCCGGCGGAUAUUUCGCCCUGGUGGGGAGCUUCCCGGAAACGAAAGUCUUCCGGUUCCGGGGGAAGUAUGGUUGCAAAGCUGAAACUUAAAGGAAUUGACGGAAGGGCACCACCAGGAGUGGAGCCUGCGGCUUAAUUUGACUCAACACGGGGAAACUCACCCGGCCCGGACACCGUAAGGAUUGACAGAUUGAUAGCUUUUUCAUGAUUCGGUGGAUGGUGGUGCAUGGCCGUUCUUAGUUCGUGGAGCGAUUUGUCUGGUUUAUUCCGAUAACGAGCGAGACUCUAGCCUACUAAAUAGUUCGCACAUUGUCAACUUGUGUGCGCUUACUUCUUAGAGGGAUUUUCGGUGUUCAGCCGCACGAGAUUGAGCAAUAACAGGUCUGUGAUGCCCUUAGAUGUCCGGGGCUGCACGCGCGCUACACUGGCAAAAUCAGCGUGCUUAUCCUUUCCCGAAAGGGAUUGGUAAACCAUUGAAAAUUUGCCGUGAUUGGGAUCGGAAAUUGCAAUUAUUUUCCGUGAACGAGGAAUUCCAAGUAAGUGCGAGUCAUCAACUCGCGUUGAUUACGUCCCUGCCCUUUGUA